Molecule: ribosomal RNA, 497 nt
Filed under: uncultured bacterium
Lineage: Bacteria
Description: partial 16S ribosomal RNA
Rfam family: Bacterial small subunit ribosomal RNA
Source: RNAcentral
GAUGAACGCUGGCGGCGUGCCUAAUACAUGCAAGUCGAGCGAACAGAUGAGGAGCUUGCUCCUCUGACGUUAGCGGCGGACGGGUGAGUAACACGUGGAUAACCUACCUAUAAGACUGGGAUAACUUCGGGACACCGGAGCUAAUACCGGAUAAUAUAUUGAACCGCAUGGUUCAAUAGUGAAAGACGGUUUUGCUGUCACUUAUAGCUGGAUCCGCGCCGCAUUAGCUAGUUGGUAAGGUAACGGCUUACCAAGGCAACGAUGCGUAGCCGACCUGAGAGGGUGAUCGGCCACACGGGAACUGAGACACGGUCCAGACUCCUACGGGAGGCAGCAGUAGGGAAUCUUCCGCAAUGGGCGAAAGCCUGACGGAGCAACGCCGCGUGAGUGAUGAAGGCCUUCGGAUCGUAAAACUCUGUUAUUAGGGAAGAACAAAUGUGUAAGUAACUAUGCACGUCUUGACGGUACCGAAUCAGAAAGCCACGGCUAACUACGUG